GACGAACGCUGGCGGCGUGCCUAAGACAUGCAAGUCGUGCGGGCGCAAGCGAUGAAGUCUUCUUCAAAGCUUGCGUCAGCGGCGGACGGGUGAGUAACGCGUGGGUAACCUGCCCUGGAGACCGGGACAACGUCCCGAAAGGGACGCUAAUACCGGAUAAGCCCACCCCGCGCAUGGCGGGGAGGAAAAGGACGGUCCGCUCCAGGAUGGGCCCGCGUCCCAUUAGCUAGUUGGCGGGGUAACGCCCACCAAGGCUACGAUGGGUAGCCGGCCUGAGAGGGGUGGUCGGGCCACACUGGGGACUCGAGACACGGGCCCCAGACUCCUACGGGAGGCAGCAUG
This 342-nucleotide ribosomal RNA is filed under the name uncultured bacterium. RNAcentral describes it as "bacterial SSU rRNA". It matches the Rfam family "Bacterial small subunit ribosomal RNA", at positions 28 to 354 of the family's 1533-position model. The record is from RNAcentral.